Molecule: RNA transcript, 2487 nt
Organism: Esox lucius (northern pike)
Lineage: Eukaryota; Metazoa; Chordata; Actinopteri; Esociformes; Esocidae
Gene: atp6v0e2
Gene name: ATPase H+ transporting V0 subunit e2
Exons: 5
Source: RefSeq, a predicted model, not a curated record
AGGCGUGUGAUAGAAAUGGGCGAUAGCAAGCUGCUAGCGCAUUUUGAGAAGGAGGAUACCGGAUCCAUCGAUGCUUGUCUUUUUAAAGACUCAAUUUGAUAUUUAUUUCCUUUAUACCUGCUGAUCUAUUCCUUUUAACGAUGGUUUCUCACUCGCUCGCGCUGCCGAUGAUCUGUUUUACAACGUUAUGGGCGCUUGUGGGAAUCGUAGCACCCUUUUUCGUUCCUAAAGGACCAAACCGAGGGGUUGUCAUCACUAGUCUGAUUUUGACUGCUGUCUGCUGCUGGUUAUUCUGGCUGAUUGCGAUUCUGGCCCAGGCCAACCCUUUGUUUGGACCUCAGCUGAAGAACGAGACCAUCUGGUACCUUCGGUACUUCUGGGAAUAAUACCAGGUAGUGUUCCUCCGGGAUAGCGAACCGCCAGAGUGAACGUCAGUCGCUGAGGGUAACACCCUCUGUGGUGACAUCGUAAGAUCUCCAUUCCCUCCAUCCAUCCUGGACUGGGUUCCUCAACACUAUUCCAUUCCUCCACCCCAACAUCUUUGUUACGUCACAGCAACGUUCUCAGUGUUGUGCAUUGCCGUAGAAGCCACCUGCAUUUAACGCGGAUGUUGGAGAAUCUUCAACAGUCAUGUUGUUUUUAUGUUGGGAUUCAAUCUGUGACAAUAACUAAUGCAUAAUACUACUUCGGUAGAAAAGUAGUUGUAACACUAAAUAACAUUAUGUAAGGAUUAUAUUGUAUAGCGCUAUGUAAGGAUUAUUGUAUAGAGCUAUGGUAAGGAUUAUAUUAUAUAACACUAUGUAAGGAUUAUAUUAUAUAGCGCUAUGUAAGGAUUAUUGUAUAGAGCUAUGGUAAGGAUUAUAUUAUAUAACGCUAUGUAAGGAUUAUAUUAUAUAGCGCUAUGUAAGGAUUAUUUGACAUAGCGCUAUGUAAGAAUUAUAUUGAACUUGUGCAGUAUGUCAUAAGGGUAGCGGGUUCAUUUCAAUUGAAGGUAGUUCAUUCAGGAAGACACUAUUUUAUGGUUUUAUUUGUACAACAUUCUAUUUAUUGUACUGCAGAUAUGAAAGGUGUAUAAAACUCGAAAUACAUAAUACAGUUUUACGUUAUCCUUAAGUAUUUUAUUAUUUUUGUGGAAAACAAUGUUUGUAUAAUGCACUGGAAGGUAUUAGCUGAAACAGACAAUGUUCACUGGAAAGCCCAUAGAUGACCCUCCCACACUUUUGGCUACAGUGAAAAAGUGUUGAGAUUUACUUUAACUGAUUUUUUUUUUAAUUAUGUUUACUGUACAUGGUGUUGUUACAAUUACGUAAAGAGUUGUUAUUGUUAUUAGAAAGUGUUAAUUCAAUUUCUGUAUUUAUUUUAACUGACGUCCUGGCUCUUAAACUGGUUGACUGUUACAUUAUGAUGUCAGUGACUGCGUAUUUUCAUUGAGUAAUGCUUUGUGUAAAUGCUCGUUCUUCAUCUGGCGUAAUUGGCUGGCCUGCGGCCAUGGAAAGCACGCUACAAUCCAGGGCCCCUCUCCAUUUUCAAGUUCCUCUCCUGGAUGGCCGUGGUCCUCCUAGGCUAAAAAUAUGUCGGUAGCUUUCUUUUAAUUCCCAUGUUGAAGAACCUGGUUGGAGGAUCCCUACUGAUUUCAGGAAUCCUUGGUGUUACCAUGGUAAUCACAGCGAGUAUCCGCGUGGGUCGUUGACCACAGCGCUAAUACCCUUUUCCGCUCGGAUGAGAGUCAAUUCCAUUUCGGCAUCUAACUCUCGUGAAUUCGGGAACUCAAGUGAAAACCAACGGCUUUGGAAAGGCACAGAAAUGCUGGCUGCUGUAUAGACCCCCCCUCUCAUGUAAACAAUGUGUGUUUCUUUUUGUAGGAAGGCACCUUAGCUCCAGCCAUCACAACCUGCUCUGCCAGCCCCCCCCCCCCCCCCACCCCCCUUAGAGAGAAGCCAUCUUAGCACGAGUGCCAGUAUUUUGUUUGUGCUGUCAAGGCAAGUCUUUGUCAUUCGCUGUCUUACAGAAUGUAGUUCCAGCAUUGUUGGGAAGUUGGAAAGGGCACAAACAAAUGUGGAACCAGGCCAGGGUCACCUGUCUCUGAGGAGGCUUUUUCCUCAGCUCUGCCAAAAAAAAGUUCAGAAAGAAAAAUCUAAAUACAGCUACUUUUGAGAAAGACCAAAUUAUGUUGUACUUUCCUUUAAGCCAUCUUGAUUGUUGUGGUGGCGUGGCGGUUUGCAUGGCAGAGGGGUCGACGGCAAUUGAAAAAACCUAAGCUUGGGCUUCAACUCGAAAAAACGACUAAUUCCUUGUGGUCACCAUGGAAACAUUGAGCAUGUACUGUAUAUGGGGGGUGUUGGUGAUACUGGGGGGGAAAAGCAGCCGAUUUAUACAUGGCUUUGGGGAAAGUGACCCAGGUUGUGUGUGUGAUGUUAUGUGUAGGUGUGUGCUGUGACAUUGUCCACUGUUCUGAAUCCCACAGUAAAACUGUUUAAAUGUCUGGAA